UCACCGUGUCAAGCUUGGCUUGUUGUUGGGCCCUUUGUCACUGGGUGACAGGUCCAAAAGAUAAUGGCUGGUGUCAUACCGACGCUAUAUGCAACGAGCUUACCACAGCACGCAUCUGGUGGUCGUGUGGCCCGGUCCUCCCCCCUUUAUUUCUCAA
RNAcentral lists this unclassified non-coding RNA (157 nucleotides) under uncultured Chaetothyriales. Its description in RNAcentral is "sequence contains ITS2". Lineage: Eukaryota; Fungi; Ascomycota; Eurotiomycetes; Chaetothyriales. The record is from RNAcentral.